RNAcentral lists this long non-coding RNA (736 nucleotides) under Salarias fasciatus (jewelled blenny). Its description in RNAcentral is "lncRNA (ENSSFAG00005005486.1)". Lineage: Eukaryota; Metazoa; Chordata; Actinopteri; Blenniiformes; Blenniidae. The record is from RNAcentral.
UCUGCUCUUUGUUCCCUGUUGACUCCUCCUGUUUUCUUGUGAGUGCUUCUUUCAUUUGCUGAGUCAUCUUGUUCCCUGCAGUCUCCUCCUGCUUCCUUGUUGAGACCUGCUGGUUCCCCCUGGUCUCUCCUGGUUCCUCCUGAUCCCUUCUGGUCCCUCUUGGUUCCUCCUGGUUCCUCUGGGUCUCUCAUGGUCCGUCUGGUCGCUCCUUGUCCCUCCUGGUUCCUGCUGAUGUUUUUCCUUCCAGGAUGCGCUGUGAGGCUGGGGUUCCUGUCGCCCCCUGCCGGUCACUCAUCACUGCGUGAUCCGGUGAAGGAGAAUCCACAGCUCCCCGUCAUCAUUUCCUCUGCUUCAUUUCAGGCUUUUUUCAGGAUUCAACUGGCUCCAUGCUGUGAUUUCAUCAAGUUUCAUUGGUGUGGAUGUAAAGAAACUGUGUUGAAAAGAGGCUCGACAUUCAAAUGUGUAAAAACAAGUCAGUUGGUGUUGUUGUGAAUGCUAUUCAGUGAGAAAGUUUCAAACUUGUGUCUGUUUAAAUGAUUCUGUGAAAUCCAAGUCCAGAAAUCUACUUUCCAGCAUUUGAAUGAAAUGCAUUUCAAGUGCAGAUGUUGUCAAGUUUUGUUGAGUGACUUGAAGAGACGUUGUAUUUGUCCUGUCCCGACUUGAUAUUGUUCAAAGGAAAUUGUUUGAGAGACAUGUUUCAAAUAAAACUUUUAUAAAUCAACAUUUUCCCUUUGAA